CCUACGGGGAGCUGCAGUAGGGAAUAUUGCUCAAUGGGGGAAACCCUGAAGCAGCAACGCCGCGUGGAGGAUGACGGUUUUCGGAUUGUACACUCCUUUUGUUAGAGAAGAUAAUGACGGUAUCUAACGAAUAAGCACCGGCUAACUCCGUGCCAGCAGCCGCGGUAAUACGGAGGGUGCAAGCGUUACUCUGAAUCACUGGGCGGAACGAGCGCGUAGGCGGGAUAGCAAGUCAGAUGUGAAAUCCUAUGGCUUAACCAUAGAACUGCAUUUGAAACUGUUAUUCUUGAGUAUGGGAGAGGUAGGUGGAAUGCUUGGUGUAGGGGUAAAAUCCGUAGAGAUCAAGAGGAAUACUCAUUGCGAAGGCGACCUGCUAGAACAUAACUGACGCUGAUGCGCGAAAGCGUGGGGAGCAAACAGGAUUAGAUACCCCUGUAGUC
This 440-nucleotide ribosomal RNA is filed under the name uncultured bacterium. Its description in RNAcentral is "partial 16S ribosomal RNA". It matches the Rfam family "Bacterial small subunit ribosomal RNA", at positions 338 to 795 of the family's 1533-position model. The record is from RNAcentral.